GCACCGCCAGCGCUGCGGGGGGGAGAGAAGCACACACACCACGUUUAGCGGGGGCCUGCCCGCCGCCCCCAAACCCGACGUACGAUCAGGCCGGGGCCGCCCUCCUCCCCGCCUUACCCGACUUGCCGGCUCCGCUGCCGCCCAGCACAGCCAGCUUCACUUCGGUCAUGCCGCCACCAGGCCGCUCACCGCUGCCUCCAUUUCUUUAUAGCCGCCGGGCCGAGCGCGGCUGCGUCGGUGACACCGCCCAGCAGCCCGCCUUCGCCCAGCUCCCCCCGCCAUCCCCCGGCCGCUUUCCCCGCCCCGCCGGCGAGGCCGGCAUACCUGAGGCUCAUGUUUGACCUGAAUGCUGCAGGUUUGCAGUCAGGUGUCCAGGCUUGGAGCUUUCAUCAGGACAGCUCCCACACUGAUGCUGCCAGAACUGGAAGGAGCAGUUCUGGUGUUCCCAUGGUUGGGAUCAGCUGGAUUGGUGGGUAUGUAACUCCUGUUCUGAGCUUCUCUUGACCUUGGAACUAUUGUAAGACCUCCCUGAGGAUUAAUAAGACUGAAGAGAAGAAUCAGC
This 562-nucleotide long non-coding RNA is filed under the name Strigops habroptila (Kakapo). Its description in RNAcentral is "lncRNA (ENSSHBG00005002995.1)". Lineage: Eukaryota; Metazoa; Chordata; Aves; Psittaciformes; Psittacidae. The record is from RNAcentral.